This 431-nucleotide ribosomal RNA is filed under the name uncultured bacterium. RNAcentral describes it as "bacterial SSU rRNA". It matches the Rfam family "Bacterial small subunit ribosomal RNA", at positions 353 to 798 of the family's 1533-position model. The record is from RNAcentral.
AUUGGGGAAUCUUCCGCAAUGGGCGAAAGCCUGACGGAGCAAUGCCGCGUGGAGGAGGAAGGCCUGUGGGUCGUAAACUCCUUUUCUCAGAGAAGAAGUUCUGACGGUGUCUGAGGAAUAAGCAUCGGCUAACUCUGUGCCAGCAGCCGCGGUAAUACAGGGGAUGCAAGCGUUAUCCGGAAUUAUUGGGCGUAAAGCGUCCUGAGGUGGCUUACCCAGUCGACUGUGAAAGCUCAAGGCUUAACCUUGAGACGGCAGUCGAAACUUGUAAGCUUGAGUACGGUAGGGGCAGAGGGAAUUCCCGGAGGAGAGGUGAAAUUCGUAGAUAUCGGGAGGAAGGCCAAAGGCGAAAGCACUCUGCUGGGCCGAUUACUGACACUGACAGACGAAAGCUAGGGGAGCGAAAGGGAUUAGAUACCCCUGUAGUCAAU